RNAcentral lists this ribosomal RNA (251 nucleotides) under uncultured bacterium. RNAcentral describes it as "partial 16S ribosomal RNA". It matches the Rfam family "Bacterial small subunit ribosomal RNA", at positions 524 to 774 of the family's 1533-position model. The record is from RNAcentral.
UACGUAGGGGGCAAGCGUUAUCCGGAUUUACUGGGUGUAAAGGGAGCGCAGACGGCACAGCAAGUCUGGAGUGAAAGCCCGCGGCUCAACCGCGGGACUGCUCUGGAAACUGUUGAGCUUGAGUGCAGGAGAGGCAGGCGGAAUUCCUAGUGUAGCGGUGAAAUGCGUAGAUAUUAGGAGGAACACCAGUGGCGAAGGCGGCCUGCUGGACUGUAACUGACGCUGAGGCACGAAAGCGUGGGGAGCAAAUA